Molecule: ribosomal RNA, 2831 nt
Filed under: Salmonella enterica subsp. enterica serovar Enteritidis
Lineage: Bacteria; Pseudomonadati; Pseudomonadota; Gammaproteobacteria; Enterobacterales; Enterobacteriaceae
Description: bacterial LSU rRNA
Rfam family: Bacterial large subunit ribosomal RNA
Source: RNAcentral
GGGUUGUGAGGUUAAGCGACUAAGCGUACACGGUGGAUGCCCUGGCAGUCAGAGGCGAUGAAGGGCGUGCUAAUCUGCGAUAAGCGCCGGUAAGGUGAUAUGAACCGUUAUAACCGGCGAUACCCGAAUGGGGAAACCCAGUGUGAUUCGUCACACUAUCAUUAACUGAAUCCAUAGGUUAAUGAGGCGAACCGGGGGAACUGAAACAUCUAAGUACCCCGAGGAAAAGAAAUCAACCGAGAUUCCCCCAGUAGCGGCGAGCGAACGGGGAGGAGCCCAGAGCCUGAAUCAGCAUGUGUGUUAGUGGAAGCGUCUGGAAAGGCGCGCGAUACAGGGUGACAGCCCCGUACACAAAAGCGCAUGUGCUGUGAGCUCGAUGAGUAGGGCGGGACACGUGGUAUCCUGUCUGAAUAUGGGGGGACCAUCCUCCAAGGCUAAAUACUCCUGACUGACCGAUAGUGAACCAGUACCGUGAGGGAAAGGCGAAAAGAACCCCGGCGAGGGGAGUGAAAAAGAACCUGAAACCGUGUACGUACAAGCAGUGGGAGCNNNNNNNNNNNGGGCGUUAAGUUGCAGGGUAUAGACCCGAAACCCGGUGAUCUAGCCAUGGGCAGGUUGAAGGUUGGGUAACACUAACUGGAGGACCGAACCGACUAAUGUUGAAAAAUUAGCGGAUGACCUGUGGCUGGGGGUGAAAGGCCAAUCAAACCGGGAGAUAGCUGGUUCUCCCCGAAAGCUAUUUAGGUAGCGCCUCGUGAAUUCAUCUCCGGGGGUAGAGCACUGUUUCGGCUAGGGGGCCAUCCCGGCUUACCAACCCGAUGCAAACUGCGAAUACCGGAGAAUGUUAUCACGGGAGACACACGGCGGGUGCUAACGUCCGUCGUGAAGAGGGAAACAACCCAGACCGCCAGCUAAGGUCCCAAAGUCAUGGUUAAGUGGGAAACGAUGUGGGAAGGCCCAGACAGCCAGGAUGUUGGCUUAGAAGCAGCCAUCAUUUAAAGAAAGCGUAAUAGCUCACUGGUCGAGUCGGCCUGCGCGGAAGAUGUAACGGGGCUAAACCAUGCACCGAAGCUGCGGCAGCGACACUGUGUGUUGUUGGGUAGGGGAGCGUUCUGUAAGCCUGCGAAGGUGGCCUGUGAGGGUUGCUGGAGGUAUCAGAAGUGCGAAUGCUGACAUAAGUAACGAUAAAGCGGGUGAAAAGCCCGCUCGCCGGAAGACCAAGGGUUCCUGUCCAACGUUAAUCGGGGCAGGGUGAGUCGACCCCUAAGGCGAGGCCGAAAGGCGUAGUCGAUGGGAAACGGGUUAAUAUUCCCGUACUUGGUGUUACUGCGAAGGGGGGACGGAGAAGGCUAUGUUGGCCGGGCGACGGUUGUCCCGGUUUAAGCGUGUAGGUGUGUGUUCCAGGUAAAUCCGGUUCACUUUAACACUGAGGCGUGACGACGAGGCACUACGGUGCUGAAGCAACAAAUGCCCUGCUUCCAGGAAAAGCCUCUAAGCAUCAGGUAACAUCAAAUCGUACCCCAAACCGACACAGGUGGUCAGGUAGAGAAUACCAAGGCGCUUGAGAGAACUCGGGUGAAGGAACUAGGCAAAAUGGUGCCGUAACUUCGGGAGAAGGCACGCUGACACGUAGGUGAAGUGAUUUACUCAUGGAGCUGAAGUCAGUCGAAGAUACCAGCUGGCUGCAACUGUUUAUUAAAAACACAGCACUGUGCAAACACGAAAGUGGACGUAUACGGUGUGACGCCUGCCCGGUGCCGGAAGGUUAAUUGAUGGGGUCAGCGCAAGCGAAGCUCCUGAUCGAAGCCCCGGUAAACGGCGGCCGUAACUAUAACGGUCCUAAGGUAGCGAAAUUCCUUGUCGGGUAAGUUCCGACCUGCACGAAUGGCGUAAUGAUGGCCAGGCUGUCUCCACCCGAGACUCAGUGAAAUUGAACUCGCUGUGAAGAUGCAGUGUACCCGCGGCAAGACGGAAAGACCCCGUGAACCUUUACUAUAGCUUGACACUGAACAUUGAGCCUUGAUGUGUAGGAUAGGUGGGAGGCUUUGAAGUGUGGACGCCAGUCUGCAUGGAGCCGACCUUGAAAUACCACCCUUUAAUGUUUGAUGUUCUAACGUGGACCCGUUACCCGGGUUGCGGACAGUGUCUGGUGGGUAGUUUGACUGGGGCGGUCUCCUCCUAAAGAGUAACGGAGGAGCACGAAGGUUGGCUAAUCCUGGUCGGACAUCAGGAGGUUAGUGCAAUGGCAUAAGCCAGCUUGACUGCGAGCGUGACGGCGCGAGCAGGUGCGAAAGCAGGUCAUAGUGAUCCGGUGGUUCUGAAUGGAAGGGCCAUCGCUCAACGGAUAAAAGGUACUCCGGGGAUAACAGGCUGAUACCGCCCAAGAGUUCAUAUCGACGGCGGUGUUUGGCACCUCGAUGUCGGCUCAUCACAUCCUGGGGCUGAAGUAGGUCCCAAGGGUAUGGCUGUUCGCCAUUUAAAGUGGUACGCGAGCUGGGUUUAGAACGUCGUGAGACAGUUCGGUCCCUAUCUGCCGUGGGCGCUGGAGAACUGAGGGGGGCUGCUCCUAGUACGAGAGGACCGGAGUGGACGCAUCACUGGUGUUCGGGUUGUCAUGCCAAUGGCACUGCCCGGUAGCUAAAUGCGGAAGAGAUAAGUGCUGAAAGCAUCUAAGCACGAAACUUGCCCCGAGAUGAGUUCUCCCUGAGACUUAGAGUCUCCUGAAGGAACGUUGAAGACGACGACGUUGAUAGGCCGGGUGUGUAAGCGCAGCGAUGCGUUGAGCUAACCGGUACUAAUGAACCGUGAGGCUUAACCUUACAACGCCGAAG